AGUGAACGCUGGCGGUAGGCCUAACACAUGCAAGUCGAACGGCAGCACAGUAAGAGCUUGCUCUUACGGGUGGCGAGUGGCGGACGAGUGAGGAAUACAUCGGAAUCUACUUUUUCGUGGGGGAUAACGUAGGGAAACUUACGCUAAUACCGCAUACGACCUACGGGUGAAAGCAGGGGAUCUUCGGACCUUGCGCGAUUGAAUGAGCCGAUGUCGGAUUAGCUAGUUGGCGGGGUAAAGGCCCACCAAGGCGACGAUCCGUAGCUGGUCUGAGAGGAUGAUCAGCCACACUGGAACUGAGACACGGUCCAGACUCCUACGGGAGGCAGCAGUGGGGAAUAUUGGACAAUGGGCGCAAGCCUGAUCCAGCCAUACCGCGUGGGUGAAGAAGGCCUUCGGGUUGUAAAGCCCUUUUGUUGGGAAAGAAAAGCAGCAGGUUAAGACCCCGCUGUUCGGACGGUACCCAAAGAAGAGGCACCGGCGAACUGCGU
This 491-nucleotide ribosomal RNA is filed under the name uncultured bacterium. Its description in RNAcentral is "partial 16S ribosomal RNA". It matches the Rfam family "Bacterial small subunit ribosomal RNA", at positions 29 to 506 of the family's 1533-position model. The record is from RNAcentral.